GAACGCUGGCGGCGUGCCUAAUACAUGCAAGUCGAACGGACAAGUAAGAGCUUGCUCUUAUGAGUUAGUGGCGCACGGGUGAGUAAUGUAUAGCUAAUCUGCCCUACACUAGAGGACAACAGUUGGAAACGACUGCUAAUACUCUAUACACCUCUCUAGCAUAAGUUAGAUAGGGAAAGUUUUUCGGUGUAGGAUGAGGCUAUAUUGUAUCAGCUAGUUGGUGAGGUAAUGGCUCACCAAGGCUAUGACGCAUAACUGGUCUGAGAGGAUGAUCAGUCACACUGGAACUGAGACACGGUCCAGACUCCUACGGGAGGCAGCAGUAGGGAAUAUUGCUCAAUGGGGGAAACCCUGAAGCAGCAACGCCGCGUGGAGGAUGACACUUUUCGGAGCGUAAACUCCUUUUGUUAGGGAAGAACAAUG
RNAcentral lists this ribosomal RNA (423 nucleotides) under Campylobacter concisus. RNAcentral describes it as "bacterial SSU rRNA". It matches the Rfam family "Bacterial small subunit ribosomal RNA", at positions 31 to 454 of the family's 1533-position model. Lineage: Bacteria; Pseudomonadati; Campylobacterota; Epsilonproteobacteria; Campylobacterales; Campylobacteraceae. The record is from RNAcentral.